UGGGGAAUUUUGGACAAUGGGCGCAAGCCUGAUCCAGCCAUGCCGCGUGCGGGAAGAAGGCCUUCGGGUUGUAAACCGCUUUUGUCAGGGAAGAAAUCUUCUGAGUUAAUACCUCGGGAGGACGACGGUACCUGAAGAAUAAGCACCGGCUAACUACGUGCCAGCAGCCGCGGUAAUACGUAGGGUGCAAGCGUUAAUCGGAAUUACUGGGCGUAAAGCGUGCGCAGGCGGUUUUGUAAGACAGAGGUGAAAUCCCCGGGCUCAACCUGGGAACUGCCUUUGUGACUGCAAGGCUUGAGUGCGGCAGAGGGGGAUGGAAUUCCGCGUGUAGCAGUGAAAUGCGUAGAUAUGCGGAGGAACACCGAUGGCGAAGGCAAUCCCCUGGGCCUGCACUGACGCUCAUGCACGAAAGCGUGGGGAGCAAACAGGAUUAGAUACCCUGGUAGUCCACGCCCUAAACGAUGUCAACUGGUUGUUGGGAAGGUUCCUUCUCAGUAGCGUAGCUAACGCGUGAA
RNAcentral lists this ribosomal RNA (515 nucleotides) under uncultured bacterium. RNAcentral describes it as "partial 16S ribosomal RNA". It matches the Rfam family "Bacterial small subunit ribosomal RNA", at positions 355 to 863 of the family's 1533-position model. The record is from RNAcentral.